AUGAGAUAGCCAAAGGAAGUGGUAUUGUAAAUCCUUCCAGGUAAGCUGCAGAAGCCUCCAUCUGUCCUGAACACUGGCAACAAAGAAACAACCUCUAACAAUGGAAGGAAGACUUUGGUUUUCUCCAUCCAUGUCACCAAGACAUAGAAGAAAAACAAUUUUUCCAAAACAAUAAUAAAGCAGCCAAGAGGAAAAUCCAAUAAAGUUGCCGAGAAAUGACAGUGCUCUAGGAACAGAUGGACUGCUUCAUUUCUGAAAUCUUAUGAAGAAUAUCGACUGACUGAAACAUUGACAAAGAUUUUUUUAAUGCAACUUUAGAGACAGGGAAAAUAAUCAGGUCCCUUAUUAACAUGCAAGCUGGGUGAGAUGCUUGAAUCUUGAGAUAACAUUUGCAACCUCUUUUGCAUUUUUCAGAAUUACUAAAUAAUUUAUCAAUUAACAAGAUCUAAAAUAAUAUACCAUACUAGUAUGAUCUUGAUUUUUGUUUAAAGCCAAUUUCCCUUCCUUGCACAGUAAUUAUGGUUUUAAAAUUAUCAAAUACUGAAAUGGCAUUUCUAUUUGCUUCUUAGAACCUUUGAAUUGCCCACUUCAUAUAGUUGGAAGAUAUUUUGAGGUAGAGAAACAGGAAUUAUCAGGGAGAGGGUAUUUAUUUCCUUUCACUAGGGCUAAUUUUUGUCAUCAAUAUAAUGGACUGUCCCCUUCAAAAAACAACUCAAGAGCUUACAUGGCUUCCUUUGGAAGAUUUACUUACAUACCACCUCUUCUGGUUCUACCAGUAUCUCUUGUGUACUUACUACAACAUAUUGCCGAAUUUUGCUUAUAUACUGGUUUCUCCAGGACCUGGUACUUUUCUACCGCAGUAUCAAGCAUAAUACGUGGCAAAAAAUCACCAAUAAAUGUUUCUGAAAUAUUAGACUGAUGGUAGCACCUAAUAGGUCCCACAUCACUUUAAUUCCCUAUUAAAAAUCAUUCUAGCUGUGA
Molecule: long non-coding RNA, 981 nt
Organism: Canis lupus familiaris (dog)
Lineage: Eukaryota; Metazoa; Chordata; Mammalia; Carnivora; Canidae
Exons: 2
Source: RefSeq, a predicted model, not a curated record